RNAcentral lists this ribosomal RNA (301 nucleotides) under uncultured bacterium. Its description in RNAcentral is "partial 16S ribosomal RNA". It matches the Rfam family "Bacterial small subunit ribosomal RNA", at positions 509 to 807 of the family's 1533-position model. The record is from RNAcentral.
CAGUCGCCGCGGGAAUACGUAGGGUGCAAGCGUUAAUCGGAAUUACUGGGCGUAAAGCGUGCGCAGGCGGCUAUGCAAGACAGAUGUGAAAUCCCCGGGCUCAACCUGGGAACUGCAUUUGUGACUGCAUGGCUAGAGUACGGUAGAGGGGGAUGGAAUUCCGCGUGUAGCAGUGAAAUGCGUAGAUAUGCGGAGGAACACCGAUGGCGAAGGCAAUCCCCUGGACCUGUACUGACGCUCAUGCACGAAAGCGUGGGGAGCAAACAGGAUUAGAUACCCCGGUAGUCCCUGUCUCUUAUAC